GCAGCUUGCUGCUUCGCUGACGAGUGGCGGACGGGUGAGUAAUGUCUGGGAAACUGCCUGAUGGAGGGGGAUAACUACUGGAAACGGUAGCUAAUACCGCAUAACGUCGCAAGACCAAAGAGGGGGACCUUCGGGCCUCUUGCCAUCGGAUGUGCCCAGAUGGGAUUAGCUAGUAGGUGGGGUAACGGCUCACCUAGGCGACGAUCCCUAGCUGGUCUGAGAGGAUGACCAGCCACACUGGAACUGAGACACGGUCCAGACUCCUACGGGAGGCAGCAGUGGGGAAUAUUGCACAAUGGGCGCAAGCCUGAUGCAGCCAUGCCGCGUGUAUGAAGAAGGCCUUCGGGUUGUAAAGUACUUUCAGCGGGGAGGAAGGCGAUAAGGUUAAUAACCUUGUCGAUUGACGUUACCCGCAGAAGAAGCACCGGCUAACUCCGU
RNAcentral lists this ribosomal RNA (438 nucleotides) under Enterobacter sp. RNAcentral describes it as "bacterial SSU rRNA". It matches the Rfam family "Bacterial small subunit ribosomal RNA", at positions 75 to 506 of the family's 1533-position model. Lineage: Bacteria; Pseudomonadati; Pseudomonadota; Gammaproteobacteria; Enterobacterales; Enterobacteriaceae. The record is from RNAcentral.